This 496-nucleotide ribosomal RNA is filed under the name uncultured bacterium. RNAcentral's name for it is "partial 16S ribosomal RNA". It matches the Rfam family "Bacterial small subunit ribosomal RNA", at positions 30 to 523 of the family's 1533-position model. The record is from RNAcentral.
AUUGAACGCUGGCGGAAUGCUUUACACAUGCAAGUCGAACGGUAGAGGGGGCAACCCCUCGAGAGUGGCGAACGGGUGAGUAAUAUAUCGGAACGUGCCCAGUCGUGGGGGAUAACGUAGCGAAAGUUACGCUAAUACCGCAUACGAUCUGAGGAUGAAAGCGGGGGAUCGCAAGACCUCGCGCGAUUGGAGCGGCCGAUAUCAGAUUAGGUAGUUGGUGGGGUAAAGGCUCACCAAGCCAACGAUCUGUAGCUGGUCUGAGAGGACGACCAGCCACACUGGAACUGAGUCACGGUCCAGACUCCUACGGGAGGCAGCAGUGGGGAAGUUUGGACAAUGGACGCAAGUCUGAUCCAGCCAUUCCGCGUGCAGGAUGAAGGCCCUCGGGUUGUAAACUGCUUUUGUACGGAACGAAAAGGUCUCUCUUAAUACGGGGGACUCAUGACGGUACCGUAAGAAUAAGCACCGGCUAACUACGUGCCAGCCGCCGCAGUAA